RNAcentral lists this ribosomal RNA (503 nucleotides) under Stumpffia sp. MRSN A2653. Its description in RNAcentral is "partial 16S ribosomal RNA". It matches the Rfam family "Bacterial large subunit ribosomal RNA", at positions 1859 to 2597 of the family's 2925-position model. The record is from RNAcentral. Lineage: Eukaryota; Metazoa; Chordata; Amphibia; Anura; Microhylidae.
CUGCCCAGUGACUAAUAGUUAAACGGCCGCGGUACCCUAACCGUGCAAAGGUAGCACAAUCACUUGUUCUUUAAAUCAGGACUAGUAUGAACGGCCCAACGAGGACUAUACUGUCUCCCCCCUCCAAUCAGUGAAACUGACCCCCUCGUGAAGAAGCGAGGAUAUCAUUAUAAGACGAGAAGACCCCAUGGAACUUUAAACUAGUAUCACCUCUACACUCUGAGACCUAUGACUACUAGUCUUUCGGCUGGGGCGACCACGGGGAAAAACAAAACCCCCGAGAUGAAAGGAGUAUCCUUAUCCAAGAACUACUAUUCAAAGAAUCAAUAAAUGACACUAUUGACCCAACACUUGAUCAACGAACCAAGCUACCCUGGGGAUAACAGCGCAAUCCAUUUCAAGAGACCUCAUCGACAAAUGGGCUUACGACCUCGAUGUUGGAUCAGGGAAUCCCAGUGGUGUAGCCGCUACUAAAGGUUCGUUUGUUCAACGAUUAAAACCCU